CACCGGCAGCCCAAGUGGUGGCCAUUUUUAUUGGGCCUAAAGGGUACGUAGGCGGCUAUAUAAGUCAGGUGUGAAAUACCAGUGCUUAACACUGGAAUUGCAUUUGAAACUGUGUAGCUUGAGUGCAGGAGAGGAAAGUGGAAUUCCUAGUGUAGCGGUGAAAUGCGUAGAGAUUAGGAGGAGCACCAGUGGCGAAGGCGACUUUCUGGACUGUAACUGACGCUGAGGUACGAAAGCGUGGGUAGCGAACAGGAUUAGAUACCCUGGUGGUCCACGCCGUAAACGAUGGAUACUAGGUGUAGGGGGUAUCGACCCCCCCUGUGCCGGAGUUAACGCAAUAAGUAUCCCGCCUGGGGAGUACGGUCGCAAGACUGAA
This 376-nucleotide ribosomal RNA is filed under the name uncultured bacterium. Its description in RNAcentral is "bacterial SSU rRNA". It matches the Rfam family "Bacterial small subunit ribosomal RNA", at positions 524 to 898 of the family's 1533-position model. The record is from RNAcentral.